RNAcentral lists this transfer RNA (90 nucleotides) under Candidatus Magasanikbacteria bacterium CG_4_10_14_0_2_um_filter_41_10. RNAcentral's name for it is "tRNA-Ser". It matches the Rfam family "tRNA". Rfam says of the family: Transfer RNA (tRNA) molecules are approximately 80 nucleotides in length. Their secondary structure includes four short double-helical elements and three loops (D, anti-codon, and T loops). Lineage: Bacteria; Candidatus Magasanikiibacteriota. The record is from RNAcentral.
GGAGAGGUCGCAUAGUGGCCGAGUGCAGCAGUUUACUAAACUGCCGUGGGGUCAAACUCACCAAGGGUUCGAAUCCCUUCCUCUCCGCCA